CCUAGCCUGGGCAACAAGAGCAAAACUCCGUCUUAAACAAAGAAACAAAACCAAAUGCAUCAUCUCUUUCAAUUAGUUAUUCCUACUGACUUCCCAGAAGGCACCAGUAUUUUUGCAGCCAUCUUAAAAUUAUGUUUGACUUUCUCCAACUCUGCUAAACCUUGUAGAUUCUAGAGCUGUAGUGUUUCUCAUCAUUUGUCUCUCCCUUUUCAUUUCAUUGCCUCAUUGCUCUUUGUUUAACUAGGCUGUUACUACUAGUAGAGGCUUUGAGAAAAUCAAUUCCAUAAAAGAUGGGAGCAAGACCCAGAAUGCAAAGGAUUAAUGAGAAGCACUGGAAUCACUGAGAGUAGACAAGCUCUUCAAGAAGAGAGUAGACAAGCCACUUCAAGAAACAGGGUCUUGCUAUGUUGCCUGGGCUGGGAUGCAGUGGCUCUUCACAGGCACAAUCAGUGCACUGUAGCCUUGAACUCCUGGGCUCAAGAGAUCCUCCUGACUCAGCCUCUUGAGUAGCUGGAUUACAGAUAUGUACUGCUGCGUUUGGCUUAAGAGUCUUGCUCUAUCGCCCAGGCUGGAGUGCAGUGGCAUACUCUUGGCUCACUGCAACCUCCACCUUCCAGGUUCAAGCAAUUCUGCCUCAGCCUCCCUUGUAAACCCAAGUAGCUGCCACCAUGCCUAAUUUUUGUAUUUUUGUAGAGGUGGGGUUUCACUAUGUUGCCCACGUCAGUCUCUAAUUCCUGGCCUUAAGUAAUCCACCCUCCCAAAGUGCUGGGAUUACAGGCAUGAACCACCAUGCCCAGUCGGUAUGGCAUUAUUUAUAUAAAUCAAGAACAACUAAAUACUAAAUAUUGUUUAUGGCAGUAAAUGUAUAAAAACAAAGACUAGAAGGAUAUACAUCUACUUCAUAGUACCAAUGCUUCUGGGGAGGAACGGAAAAUGGACUGGGAAAGGGAACAAAGGGGACUGACUUCACGCCCUCCUCCUUCUCCUUUGCAUCAGCUAUUCUGUCCAUCUGAAACAAUCUUCUGCCAGUACCAUCCAAUUUCCCUGCCUCUGGGGUGAGAAGAAGAAGAAUGGACAGAGAAAAGGAGAAGGGCAUAUUUAUGUAUUCCCUCUAUCAGAAUGUAAGUUCCAUGAGUGUAGGGAUGUGUCUUGUUUUGUUCACUGAUGUACCUCUAGCAAAUAAAACAGUAUCUAGCAUAUAGCCAAAGGAGCUAGCUCAAAGAAGGAUAAGUAUAUAAAAAUAAAGUGUCAAAAAUAUAGAAUUCCCUUUUCUGGCCGGGCACAGUGGCUCACAUGUGUAAUCCUAGCACUUUGGGAGGUUGAGGUGGGCGGAUCACAAGGUCAGGAGUUCAAGACCAGCUUGGUCAAAAUGGUGAAAUCCCGUCUUUACUAAAAAUAUAAAAAAAUAGCUGGGUGUGGUAGCACAUGCCUGUAAUCCCAGCUACUCAGGAGCCUGAGGCAGGAGAAUCGUUGGAACCCAGGAGAUGGAGGUUGCAGUAAGGUGAGAUCCCGCCACUGCACUCCUGCCUGGGUGACAGAGCAAGACUCCAUCUCAAAAAAAAAGUAUUUCCUUUUUAUUACACUCAAAUUUAGAGUUAAGACAGAUUUAAGAUUUCAUAAUUCACUUAUAU
This is a long non-coding RNA of Callithrix jacchus (white-tufted-ear marmoset), 1631 nucleotides long. RefSeq lists it as uncharacterized. The record is from RefSeq and is a predicted model, not a curated record. Lineage: Eukaryota; Metazoa; Chordata; Mammalia; Primates; Cebidae.